UGGGGAAUAUUGGACAAUGGGCGAAAGCCUGAUCCAGCCAUGCCGCGUGUGUGAAGAAGGUCUUCGGAUUGUAAAGCACUUUAAGUUGGGAGGAAGGGCAGUUACCUAAUACGUGAUUGUUUUGACGUUACCGACAGAAUAAGCACCGGCUAACUCUGUGCCAGCAGCCGCGGUAAUACAGAGGGUGCAAGCGUUAAUCGGAAUUACUGGGCGUAAAGCGCGCGUAGGUGGUUAGUUAAGUUGGAUGUGAAAUCCCCGGGCUCAACCUGGGAACUGCAUUCAAAACUGACAAGCUAGAGUAUGGUAGAGGGUGGUGGAAUUUCCUGUGUAGCGGUGAAAUGCGUAGAUAUAGGAAGGAACACCAGUGGCGAAGGCGACCACCUGGACUGAUACUGACACUGAGGUGCGAAAGCGUGGGGAGCAAACAGGAUUAGAUACCCAUGUAGUCCCUGAGCGGGCUGGCAAGGCGCAU
This 472-nucleotide ribosomal RNA is filed under the name uncultured bacterium. Its description in RNAcentral is "bacterial SSU rRNA". It matches the Rfam family "Bacterial small subunit ribosomal RNA", at positions 355 to 825 of the family's 1533-position model. The record is from RNAcentral.